Non-coding RNA from Myotis brandtii (Brandt's bat), 126 nucleotides. The record is from Rfam. NCBI's taxonomy places the organism in Eukaryota, Metazoa, Chordata, Mammalia, Chiroptera, Vespertilionidae.
AGGUCGUUUCAAAGAGAGCUCACGGGACCAAAACCAGGAGCUCUUUGCCUGGGACCUAAGAUCGAAGUUCUCCACAGGAUGCAAUAGACAUUCCACAGUGCUGUGUUUUCCCGAGGAGAUAGAAGG